UCUCCGUAGGUGAACCUGCGGAGGGAUCAUUACAGAGUUCAUGCCCUACCGGGUAGAUCUCCCACCCUAUGUUAUUAUUACUUUGUUGCUUUGGCGGGCCGUUAGGCUCCGGCCCGACUACCGGCCCCGGCUGGUAAGCGCCCGCCAGAGGACCCAAAACCCUGAAUAUUAGUGUCGUCUGAGUACUAUAUAAUAGUUAAAACUUUCAACAACGGAUCUCAUGGUUCUG
RNAcentral lists this unclassified non-coding RNA (229 nucleotides) under plant metagenome. RNAcentral describes it as "partial contains small subunit ribosomal RNA, internal transcribed spacer 1, and 5.8S ribosomal RNA". The record is from RNAcentral.